Limulus polyphemus (Atlantic horseshoe crab) is the source of this 900-nucleotide long non-coding RNA. RefSeq lists it as uncharacterized. The record is from RefSeq and is a predicted model, not a curated record. The transcript has 2 exons. NCBI's taxonomy places the organism in Eukaryota, Metazoa, Arthropoda, Merostomata, Xiphosura, Limulidae.
UGCUCAUUCUAGCUUCAAGUUCAUUGUCUACAGCUCCUUUUCUUCAGGAUGAGCAGAUGCUUAUUUUAGCUUCACGGUUUAUAGAUACGUAUCUCCAGACUGAACAAGAUGCUUAUUCUCGGUUUAUAGAUAUGUUUCUCAAGGCUUAUCAAGACGCUCAUUCUAGCUUCACGGUUGAUAUAAAUAGAUAUCCCUCUCCAGGAAGAACAAGACCCCCAUUCUAACUUCAUGGUUUACAGAUAUGCCUCUCUAGACUUAUCAAGAUGCUCAUUCUAGCUACACAAUUUAUAGAUACUUUUCUCCAGACUGAACAAGACGUCCAUAUCAGUACUUCACUGUCUACAACUGCUCUUCAGGCUGUUCACGGCCGGCUGUUGCUUAGAGGUUGGCACAUUCGGAAAGUUCAGCGUGUGGUCCGAGCAGCACUCUACAGCAGCGGCAUCGCCGUGAUGCCGCCACAGUAGCCUCUCGUCUCUCACCUAGAAAGCAUUCCUUCUCUUUCAUCGUGAGCUCCAGUGGAGAGCGUGCGACAGCAGCCUUAGCCCGGGUAUUCGUCAAUGUGUUAUGUAGAAGCUGGUCUUCUGGCGCAGUAGGGGGACGAGCACAACGUCAUUAACUAGGGAUUAGCGAAACUCGGGGGGAAAGAGCCUAGUUACAAACCCCGUCAGUGACGUUUGAAUAGGAUACUUAUUGCCCAAUCCAAGCGCAAACUAGCUAGAAAUAAGCAGAGGUAGGUAGACAGGUAAGCAGGUAGGGUAGAUAGGUAGGAAGGUAAGGAAGUACUCUUGAACUAAGGCUGGAUCAAGCUCACGUGUUCAAAGUGGCUACCAAAAACUCCGCGACCGUAGCUUCUUCCAGAGAAGCUCGGUCCGCCGAAGAUCAGAGCACGGACCAGAACAA